This 272-nucleotide long non-coding RNA is filed under the name Homo sapiens (human). RNAcentral describes it as "HSALNT0107718". Lineage: Eukaryota; Metazoa; Chordata; Mammalia; Primates; Hominidae. The record is from RNAcentral.
UUUUCACUCUCCUAGGAUGACCCAGGUAUAGAAUCUGCCCCUAUGGUUCGGCUCCACCCUCUCACCUGUCUCUUGAGAGCAUUGUGAAAUUCUGAGACACAGCAAGGACAGAAACAGAGGGCAUGGAAGAUGCUUUCAGGAGUAUGAUGGUACUUCCAGUACCCCAGUGACACCUAGCCUGAGAAAGAAGCAGAGAUAAAGUCUAUAGAGGAAGAGAGCAUCUGAAUGACGUUUGAGUCCCUGGAUGAUCAGAUCCAGAGCCUGACAAGUUU